GCCUGGGUGGCUCAGUCAGUUGAGCAUCUGACUUUGGCUCAGGUCAUGAUCUCGUGGUUCAUGGGUUCAUGCCCCGCCUAGGGCU
Molecule: transfer RNA, 85 nt
Filed under: Felis catus (domestic cat)
Lineage: Eukaryota; Metazoa; Chordata; Mammalia; Carnivora; Felidae
Rfam family: tRNA
About the family: Transfer RNA (tRNA) molecules are approximately 80 nucleotides in length.
Source: Rfam by way of RNAcentral